RNAcentral lists this ribosomal RNA (465 nucleotides) under uncultured bacterium. RNAcentral's name for it is "partial 16S ribosomal RNA". It matches the Rfam family "Bacterial small subunit ribosomal RNA", at positions 28 to 507 of the family's 1533-position model. The record is from RNAcentral.
GACGAACGCUGGCGGCGUGCUUAACACAUGCAAGUCGAACGGAAAGGCCCCUUUGGGGGUCCUCGAGUGGCGAACGGGUGAGUAACACGUGAGUAACCUGCCCUUGACUUCGGGAUAACUUCAGGAAACUGGGGCUAAUACCGGAUAGGAAUCCUUGCUGCAUGGUGGGGGUUGGAAAGCUUCGGCGGUUUUGGAUGGACUCGCGGCUUAUCCGCUUGUUGGUGGGGUAGUGGCUUACCAAGGCUUUGACGGGUAGCCGGCCUGAGAGGGCGACCGGCCACCUUGGGACUGAGAGACGGCCCAGACGCCUACGGGAGGCAGCAGUGGGGAAUAUUGCACAAUGGGCGGAAGCCUGAUGCAGCAACGCCGCGUGCGGGAUGACGGCCUUCGGGUUGUAAACCGCUUUCAGCAGGGGCGAAGCUUGUGGUGACGGUACCUGCAGAAGAAGCACCGGCUAACUACGUG